Molecule: ribosomal RNA, 263 nt
Filed under: Xanthobacter autotrophicus
Lineage: Bacteria; Pseudomonadati; Pseudomonadota; Alphaproteobacteria; Hyphomicrobiales; Xanthobacteraceae
Description: partial 16S ribosomal RNA
Rfam family: Eukaryotic small subunit ribosomal RNA
Source: RNAcentral
GGCCUACCACGGUUUCAACGGGUAACGGGUAAUAAGGGUUCGAUUCCGGAGAGGGAGCCUGAGAAACGGCUACCACAUCCAAGGAAGGCAGCAGGCGCGCAAAUUACCCAAUCCCGACACGGGGAGGUAGUGACAAUAAAUAACGAUACAGGGCCCUUUUGGGUCUUGUAAUUGGAAUGAGUACAAUGUAAAUACCUUAACGAGGAACAAUUGGAGGGCAAGUCUGGUGCCAGCAGCCGCGGUAAUUCCAGCUCCAAAAGCGU